This 657-nucleotide ribosomal RNA is filed under the name Triticum aestivum (bread wheat). RNAcentral describes it as "partial small subunit ribosomal RNA". The record is from RNAcentral. Lineage: Eukaryota; Viridiplantae; Streptophyta; Magnoliopsida; Poales; Poaceae.
AUGAGCGAUGAGGUACUGGAGUUGCUAUCCUUCAUUGCAAGUAGUCAAAAGGAAGACAUUGAAAAACUCGAUCUCAACAAGGAUGCUCUUCAAGCUAGCCGGAUGAUGGAAGGAAGCAGCGAGGCCGCUCCUUACCAUUUAGCUGGAAUUAACCGAUGCAAGUCCAAGAAGGAUUGGUCAGUGCUGCCGCCUGGCUUCAAGUUCGAUCCCACGGAUCAGGAGCUGAUCGGGCACCUUGAGGCCAAAGUGAGUGCUGACAGUGCGAGAUCUCACCCUCUCAUCGAUUUUUUCAUACCAACCAUCGACAGUGAGCACGGCAUAUGCUACACCCAUCCUGAGAAACUUCCACGGAGUUCAAAAGGGGAAUGCGGCAUGCACGCGAUGUGGCACAAGACCGGCAAUACCUUGCCAGUGAUGGUCAACGGCCGGCAGACGGGCAACAAAAAGGUUCUGGUGCUGCACACUAACAAGAACUUCGAUCAACAGAGAACCAACUGGAUGAUGCACCAGUACCACCUCGGGGACCUGGAACAAGAGAAGGAGCGGGAGCCGGGGAUCCAUCCAGUUUCACAUGCUGAUAGUUGGACGCAGCACGUCGGAACUGGGUUGUGGCAUGCCAAGCCGAGCUGCAAAUUGUUAAAAGAGAGGAGCGAUUGA